RNAcentral lists this ribosomal RNA (465 nucleotides) under Vreelandella stevensii. RNAcentral describes it as "partial 16S ribosomal RNA". It matches the Rfam family "Bacterial small subunit ribosomal RNA", at positions 338 to 795 of the family's 1533-position model. The record is from RNAcentral. Lineage: Bacteria; Pseudomonadati; Pseudomonadota; Gammaproteobacteria; Oceanospirillales; Halomonadaceae.
CCUACGGGGGGCAGCAGUGGGGAAUAUUGGACAAUGGGGGGAACCCUGAUCCAGCCAUGCCGCGUGUGUGAAGAAGGCCCUCGGGUGGUAAAGCACUUUCAGUGAGGAAGAACGCCUGGUGGUUAAUACCCAUCAGGAAAGACAUCACUCACAGAAGAAGCACCGGCUAACUCCGUGCCAGCAGCCGCGGUAAUACGGAGGGUGCGAGCGUUAAUCGGAAUUACUGGGCGUAAAGCGCGCGUAGGUGGCUUGAUAAGCCGGUUGUGAAAGCCCCGGGCUCAACCUGGGAACGGCAUCCGGAACUGUCAAGCUAGAGUGCAGGAGAGGAAGGUAGAAUUCCCGGUGUAGCGGUGAAAUGCGUAGAGAUCGGGAGGAAUACCAGUGGCGAAGGCGGCCUUCUGGACUGACACUGACACUGAGGUGUGAAAGCGUGGGUAGCAAACAGGAUUAGAUACCCUGGUAGUC